RNAcentral lists this ribosomal RNA (458 nucleotides) under uncultured Cellulomonas sp. RNAcentral's name for it is "bacterial SSU rRNA". It matches the Rfam family "Bacterial small subunit ribosomal RNA", at positions 925 to 1384 of the family's 1533-position model. The record is from RNAcentral. Lineage: Bacteria; Bacillati; Actinomycetota; Actinomycetes; Micrococcales; Cellulomonadaceae.
ACAAGCGGCGGAGCAUGCGGAUUAAUUCGAUGCAACGCGAAGAACCUUACCAGGCUUGACAUACACCGGUAAGCCCAGAGAUGGGUGCCCCUUUGUGGUCGGUGGACAGGUGGUGCAUGGUUGUCGUCAGCUCGUGUCGUGAGAUGUUGGGUUAAGUCCCGCAACGAGCGCAACCCUCGUCCUAUGUUGCCAGCGGGUCAUGCCGGGGACUCAUGGGAGACUGCCGGGGUCAACUCGGAGGAAGGUGGGGGAUGACGUCAAAUCGUCAUGCCCCUUAUGUCUUGGGCUUCACGCAUGCUACAAUGGCCGGUACAAAGGGCUGCGAUACCGCGAGGUGGAGCGAAUCCCAGAAAGCCGGUCUCAGUUCGGAUUGGGGUCUGCAACUCGACCCCAUGAAGUCGGAGUCGCUAGUAAUCGCAGAUCAGCAACGCUGCGGUGAAUACGUUCCCGGGCCUUGU